This 436-nucleotide unclassified non-coding RNA is filed under the name Hevea brasiliensis (rubber tree). The record is from RNAcentral. Lineage: Eukaryota; Viridiplantae; Streptophyta; Magnoliopsida; Malpighiales; Euphorbiaceae.
GUCACGGUUCAGAAUUUUAAGUCGUUACAUAAUGUAUCAAUCUGGACAACAGUAUAUGAGGACAAUUAAUAUGACUAUGAGUUAGGACCACAUUCAUAUAAAAAGGGUUUGGACCACCUUGAUGACUUCAUGUUUGAGGGCAAUUUUUCCCUGGCUCUUAUGUGUAGACUUGUUGUCUGACAGAAGUGGUUGGCUAAAAGGAAUCCAUAUAGCCGACUCAAACUAAUUUGAAAUUAAGGCAUAAUUUGCCUUUAAACCUUUCACUACUGCCAAAUAUGCAAUUUUAAAAUGACAAAUUUUCAUUUCCAGCAUACAAAACAAGGAUUCCAAACAAAACUCAGCAAAUCAUCAGUUAGAGACUUUCCUGAAGAGAAUUGGUGCGCCAUAUUGAGGCAGUACAGUCAGGAAAUUAAUUGGAGCAUGAACAUAUGUUGGU